Molecule: long non-coding RNA, 449 nt
Organism: Dromaius novaehollandiae (emu)
Lineage: Eukaryota; Metazoa; Chordata; Aves; Casuariiformes; Dromaiidae
Exons: 2
Source: RefSeq, a predicted model, not a curated record
UCGCACACCCCACGCCAGGCACCUGCUGAAGAACUUGCCAAGGCAGAUGUAGCUCUAGCGCAGCCUCGCCUGCUGCAUGCAUGGUGCAAAGUUGCACUGAAACAGCAGAAAAUAUGCUGCCACCAGCCAAAGGACACUGAGCUGUGACAAGCGAGGGUGAGACAUGAACAGCUGAGAAACGUCACUUGUAGGCAACACCAUCACGUUACAGAAUUAUACAGCUGCUUGCUGUUACCGCUCCUGCCUGUAAGAACAACAGUUACGCGUGGGGAUGCGUGUCAUCCACGGAGAAGAGCUCUCGCCGAGACGCACACCAGCGCCCAGGCUACACAGACAGCAGCUGCGGCGAGGCCAACGGGGAAGCGGGGGAGGCGCUGGCUCCUCUCGACGACCUUCCACAAUCCCGGGCCAGAGGCUACGGCACCCGGAGGAGCCCCAGGGGGCCGAAA